GCAAACAGCUAGCUCUCUGCAACUCUCACAUGGUCACCCACUGAAGCUAAGCAGGGCUGCGCCUGGUCAGUACCUGGAUGGGAGACCACAUGGGAAAGCUAGGUUGCUGCCGGAA
RNAcentral lists this ribosomal RNA (115 nucleotides) under Danio rerio (zebrafish). The record is from RNAcentral. Lineage: Eukaryota; Metazoa; Chordata; Actinopteri; Cypriniformes; Danionidae.